GGGUGUAUAGCUCAGUUGGUAGAGCGCUGGUCUCCAAAAUCAGAUGUCGAAGGUUCAAGUCCUUCUACCCCUGCCA
RNAcentral lists this transfer RNA (76 nucleotides) under Caudoviricetes sp. Its description in RNAcentral is "tRNA-Trp". It matches the Rfam family "tRNA". From Rfam's summary of the family: Transfer RNA (tRNA) molecules are approximately 80 nucleotides in length. Their secondary structure includes four short double-helical elements and three loops (D, anti-codon, and T loops). The record is from RNAcentral. Lineage: Duplodnaviria; Heunggongvirae; Uroviricota; Caudoviricetes.